GCUGGCGGCAGGCCUAACACAUGCAAGUCGAGCGCCCCUCCUUCAAGCGAGCUUGGAGGAUUGCGCGGCGGUGUCUUCGAACGGGCGUAAGCUCGUUUCGAGGGAAACCGUUUCGAAAUCAAGCGGACCGAAGGGCCCGCUUGAUGGAGGGGAGCGGCAGACGGGAGAGUAACACGUGGGAACGUACCCUUUGGUUCGGAACAACCCAGGGAAACUUGGGCUAAUACCGGAUAAGCCCUUACGGGGAAAGAUUCAUCGCCGAAGGAUCGGCCCGCGUCUGAUUAGCUAGUUGGUGGGGUAAUGGCCCACCAAGGCGACGAUCAGUAGCUGGUCUGAGAGGAUGAUCAGCCUCACUGGGACUGAGACACGGCCCAGACUCCUACGGGAGGCAGCAGUGGGGAAUAUUGGACAAUGGGCGCAAGCCUGAUCCAGCCAUGCCGCGUGGGUGAUGAAGGCCCUAGGGUUGUAAAGCCCUUUCGGCGGGGAAGAUAAUGACGGU
This 499-nucleotide ribosomal RNA is filed under the name uncultured soil bacterium. RNAcentral's name for it is "bacterial SSU rRNA". It matches the Rfam family "Bacterial small subunit ribosomal RNA", at positions 35 to 458 of the family's 1533-position model. The record is from RNAcentral.